This is a non-coding RNA of Triticum urartu, 611 nucleotides long. NCBI's taxonomy places the organism in Eukaryota, Viridiplantae, Streptophyta, Magnoliopsida, Poales, Poaceae. The record is from RefSeq and is a predicted model, not a curated record.
GGUACGAUCAUCAGUUAGUGUCUACAAUCUUCUUUCUCGGAAAAUAGGGGAUUUAUAUCAGCGUGCCAUCACUGCAAGGAAUCAACACCGUCUCAACGGCGGCAACAGCGGAUACAGAACAACUGAUGCGGCCUGAAGUGGACCUCAUUCAACCUUAAUUCCAGAAGCUGCUAAACAUGCCGUGGAAGCUGAUGCAAAAUCAAACAGUAAAGAGGAGGUUGCUCUGUGUUGCCAUUGUUGUAUGAAUAUAAUGCAACCUUCUCCUACUGUAUGAAGAAAAGUUUGUGCAUAACUGCAUACUUGCAGGAAUAGAAGAUAGAUAAAUAUGACCUUGGGUACAGAUUGUUGUGUAGAUAAAACUGACCUUGCUUACAGAUUUUGUUGUAUGUAUUUUUUUGUAUAGUUGACCGAGAUAGAUAGAAUAUGGUAGAAGAAAGAGGUGCAGAUUGUUGUAUGGCCAUAUUGUACAUGGUGAUCAUUGUUGUAUUUAUUUUACAUAGAUAGAAUAAUGAUGUAGAUAUAGAGGGUUUUCGCAUAUGUACCAAUUUUCAUAGGAACUAUGAUUAUGUAUGACUGGUAUAUGGUGCACAAAUCAGUCAUAUACUCAUUUA